GACGAACGCUGGCGGCGUGCUUAACACAUGCAAGUCGAGCGGUAAGGCCCUUUCGGGGUACACGAGCGGCGAACGGGUGAGUAACACGUGGGUGACCUGCCCUCAGCUCUGGGAUAAAGCCUGGGAAACCGGGUCUAAUACUGGAUAUGACUCCAUGACGCAUGUUGUGGGGUGGAAAGCCUUGUGCGGCUGAGGAUGGGCCCGCGGCCUAUCAGCUUGUUGGUGGGGUGAGGCCUACCAAGGCGACGACGGGUAGCCGGCCUGAGAGGGCGACCGGCCACACUGGGACUGAGACACGGCCCAGA
This 305-nucleotide ribosomal RNA is filed under the name uncultured bacterium. Its description in RNAcentral is "bacterial SSU rRNA". It matches the Rfam family "Bacterial small subunit ribosomal RNA", at positions 28 to 335 of the family's 1533-position model. The record is from RNAcentral.